Cyprinus carpio (common carp) is the source of this 2027-nucleotide long non-coding RNA. NCBI's taxonomy places the organism in Eukaryota, Metazoa, Chordata, Actinopteri, Cypriniformes, Cyprinidae. The record is from Ensembl.
GAUACAUGGAAUCACUGUUGCAAGUACCCCAGGCACAUCGGUUUUCGAUUUUUGAAGCAUAAACCCCAUAAAAACGAUGCGAGCCUCGGAUCUUCCAGUGUUUCUCAAUGGCGCUGAAACUAGGGAUGGGCGUAUCGAUACUCAAACAAAAAAUAUCGAUACUAAGGCACACCGUGGCUGCAAUGAUCGGAUGGGGGAGUAGAGUGGAGUAUCGGGAGUAUACCCCGGCCUACAGAGCCUCCAUCAGAUUCACCAGAUUUACUGAUUCUGCGAAAGAAGCAGGCUGCCAGAAUCACACCCAGAAUGACAACAGCGGCUAUCACAGACGAGCAACCAUGCCUGAGGAUUUGUUUAAUAUUUUAUUAGAAAUUAAACUUGCCAUGAAUUUAAUUUUUGCAAAGGAAAGAGGAUAAUAAAAAAGAUAAACUUACAUGGUUAUCUGUUGCGCUUUUCAUAAGGGGGGAAGAGGGAAGAUGGCGAUUAACAAGUAUGUAUGCAUAGUACACAAAUACAUGCAAUUUAACAAAUAGUCAAGUCACCUCAUCUACAGUGAUGUUAAGGAUUAUGAAAUUCAGUUCCUAAAGAUUUGGUCUAGUGACAAACAUUUUUUAGCCAGAAUUACUAUUAGGUGAUGUGUUUCUCUGCCAUGAUAAAAAUUAUGUGUAUCAGGCUUUACGAUUUUAUGAGCCCACCCCUAAGCAGUUUUAAAGAGAAGUUGAUUGAAAGUUAUUCAAUAAUAAUUUUCACUUAAGGUGCCUUCAGUGGGCAAACCUUAUUAUAUGAAAUAUAUUUCAAAGUUUCUUGGGGGAACACAAUAGUGACAAAUGUUUUUAGAAUGAAUGCAAAUGUUGUGCGAGCGGACGCAAUAACAUAACAAUUUAUACUAAAGAAACAUUUAAAGAGAAGUUACAAGGCAUACAUGUCAUAUAAUGUUUGAAAAACUGACAAAAUUGCAAGGUAAUUGUAAUACUUACUGUGUAUGCUGGCACACUGUGUGUCUGAAAACUGUGUGCAAUUGGAAACAGUUACCUCUCCAAUUUCUGUAGUUUGGGGGAGGAAAUAGUUUUAUUGUUGUUAGAGCAAUAUAGCCUAUUUCAAUCUUAGUUGUGUUAACAUUCAUGAAAUUUAUUGUUGCAUACCUUCACAUCUGCGGCAUGUAUUACAUAGCACACCAAUGUGGCCUCUGGGCCCUUCAGAGCAGUUGCGGGCAACAUACUCACCUGUAGAUUUGAAUUUUAUGAUUAUUUAUUGAUUCACAGUGGUAUCCUUAAUUUUCAGAUUAUCUCUGUGCAAUUUACCAUAUUGGCAGUUCAAGCAGCACAGCAUUUUUUGAACUUGGAAAUGGUUCUCUGGGCAUGCUGCUACACAAAGAGUACUCGACGCAGCCACAAAUAUUGCCUGAAGAUUUAAUGAGAAUACAUUUUUUUCAGUGUAAAUCUCAAAUUACAUAAUUCAGGGAUUGGGAACAGUACAAGAAAAGAAAAGAAAAAGAAAAAAAAAGAAGAAAAAAAUAAGACACUUUGGAAACCAAAAACAGGAACAAAAUCCUUUUAAAUCAUUCCAGUGUGAAAUGAUUGUAUUCACAUGCUUGUUACUGGUUAAUAAUUGCAUCAUGUCAUUUCAAUACUUUUUCUUUAAUCCAACAACUAAAGACAGUCUAAAACUUCAUAUUUUAUACUUUCUUCAUAAAUAUAUUUAUACUAAACUGACAAUUUAGUAUUUGUAAAUUGACAAAAUAGUUGAAAAUUACAUUUUAAAAAAAUGAGAAAGAAAAAAGUAAGAAACUUAAAAAAGUAACUCUUACCAAGACACAUUUGGUGUCUGGCUGGUUCAUUGUAGGUUGCAUUCUGUUUUCUGACAAUCCUUGAUCCUCGACUCUCUGCUUUAAAAUGGAGCACUGACGUGUUUAAGGAGUGGCCUCCAGGAGAUCCUGUAAAACAUGCUCAUGUCAUUUCUGAAAAUUUCAGGUGGUCUGAGAUCGACCGUGUUUAAAUAAAAGGUAGCUAUGUCUUGUGUGUGAUCUAUAU